Molecule: ribosomal RNA, 157 nt
Filed under: Clusia valerioi
Lineage: Eukaryota; Viridiplantae; Streptophyta; Magnoliopsida; Malpighiales; Clusiaceae
Description: 5.8S ribosomal RNA
Rfam family: 5.8S ribosomal RNA
About the family: 5.8S ribosomal RNA (5.8S rRNA) is a component of the large subunit of the eukaryotic ribosome. It is transcribed by RNA polymerase I as part of the 45S precursor that also contains 18S and 28S rRNA. Functionally, it is thought that 5.8S rRNA may be involved in ribosome translocation.
Source: RNAcentral
ACAAAACGACUCUCGGCAACGGAUAUCUCGGCUCUCGCAUCGAUGAAGAACGUAGCGAAAUGCGAUACUUGGUGUGAAUUGCAGAAUCCCGUGAACCACCGAGUCUUUGAACGCAAGUUGCGCCCAAAGCCUUUUGGUUGAGGGCACGUCUGCCUGG